GAGGGGAUAGCUCAGUGCUAGAGUGUGUGCUUAGCAUGCACAGGGUCCUGGAUUCAAUCCCCGGUACAUCCA
RNAcentral lists this transfer RNA (72 nucleotides) under Camelus bactrianus (Bactrian camel). It matches the Rfam family "tRNA". Rfam says of the family: Transfer RNA (tRNA) molecules are approximately 80 nucleotides in length. Their secondary structure includes four short double-helical elements and three loops (D, anti-codon, and T loops). RNAcentral also lists the same sequence under 2 other names. Lineage: Eukaryota; Metazoa; Chordata; Mammalia; Artiodactyla; Camelidae. The record is from Rfam by way of RNAcentral.